This is a long non-coding RNA of Musca vetustissima, 331 nucleotides long. RefSeq lists it as uncharacterized. The record is from RefSeq and is a predicted model, not a curated record. The transcript is spliced from 2 exons. Lineage: Eukaryota; Metazoa; Arthropoda; Insecta; Diptera; Muscidae.
UAAAUGAGCUAGAUGGCAACUCUGUAUUGGCAAUGACAGAUUGGACGAAAUGUAAACAUUGGUUAUCGGGUACUUGUUGUUGUACUCACCGACACCACUAAUUGUCAGAUUAAUUUUUUUCAUUUUUUCGCUUACGCUUUGGUUAUUAAGCCACUGAAUUUCUAAAAACUCCGGUUUUCCGUGUAUUCCGAGUUGGCGAGCAACGCCCUCGUCCAGCAUGGACACAUUGGCGCCGUCGUCAAUGAACGCGUACGUCGUUAUCUGUUUGUGUGUUCCGUAUAACGUCACGGGCAAAAUUUGGAACAAUACGUUUUCGGUGUAGUGGGCGGCA